CAGCAAGGAAUUUUCCCCAAUGGGCGCAAGCCUGAGGGAGCAACGCCGCGUGGAGGACGACGGCCUUCGGGUUGUAAACUCCUUUCGGGUGGGACGAUGCUGACGGUACCACCAGAAGCAGCCCCGGCUAACUCUGUGCCAGCAGCCGCGGUAAGACAGAGGGGGCAAGCGUUGUCCGGAGUUACUGGGCGUAAAGGGCGCGCAGGCGGUGGGCUGCGUCGGCGCUGAAAGCGCCCCGCUUAACGGGGCGAGGCGCGCCGAUACGAGUCCACUCGAGGCAAGCAGAGGGUGGCGGAAUUCCGGGUGGAGCGGUGAAAUGCGUAGAGAUCCGGAGGAACGCCGGUGGGGAAGCCGGCCACCUGGGCUUGACCUGACGCUGCGGCGCGACAGCGUGGGGAGCAAACCGGAUUAGAUACCCGGGUAGUCCACGCCGUAAACGAUGCCGGCUCGGCGUCUGGCGCACGUUGGUGUGCUGGGUCCUUAGCUCACGCGUAAGCCGGCCGC
Molecule: ribosomal RNA, 504 nt
Filed under: uncultured bacterium
Lineage: Bacteria
Description: bacterial SSU rRNA
Rfam family: Bacterial small subunit ribosomal RNA
Source: RNAcentral